This 497-nucleotide ribosomal RNA is filed under the name uncultured bacterium. RNAcentral describes it as "partial 16S ribosomal RNA". It matches the Rfam family "Bacterial small subunit ribosomal RNA", at positions 28 to 507 of the family's 1533-position model. The record is from RNAcentral.
GAUGAACGCUGGCGGCGUGCCUAAUACAUGCAAGUCGAGCGAACAGACGAGGAGCUUGCUCCUCUGACGUUAGCGGCGGACGGGUGAGUAACACGUGGAUAACCUACCUAUAAGACUGGGAUAACUUCGGGAAACCGGAGCUAAUACCGGAUAAUAUAUUGAACCGCAUGGGUCAAUAGUGAAAGACGGUUUUGCUGUCACUUAUAGACGGAUCCGCGCCGCAUUAGCUAGUUGGUAAGGUAACGGCUUACCAAGGCAACGAUGCGUAGCCGACCUGAGAGGGUGAUCGGCCACACUGGAACUGAGACACGGUCCAGACUCCUACGGGAGGCAGCAGUAGGGAAUCUUCCGCAAUGGGCGAAAGCUUGACGGAGCAACGCCGCGUGAGUGAUGAAGGUCUUCGGAUCGUAAAACUCUGUUAUUAGGGAAGAACAAAUGUGUAAGUAACUAUGCACGUCUUGACGGUACCUAAUCAGAAAGCCACGGCUAACUACGUG